RNAcentral lists this ribosomal RNA (489 nucleotides) under uncultured bacterium. RNAcentral's name for it is "partial 16S ribosomal RNA". It matches the Rfam family "Bacterial small subunit ribosomal RNA", at positions 28 to 507 of the family's 1533-position model. The record is from RNAcentral.
GACGAACGCUGGCGGCGUGCCUAACACAUGCAAGUCGAACGGAAAGGCCCCCUACUUGGUGGGGGUGCUCGAGUGGCGAACGGGUGAGUAACACGUGGGUGAUCUGCCCUGUACUUCGGGAUAAGCUUGGGAAACUGGGUCUAAUACCGGAUAGGACCAUGGUUUAGUGUCUCAUGGUGGAAAGAUUAUUGUUUUGGUGCAGGAUGAGCUCGCGGCCUAUCAGCUUGUUGGUGGGGUAAUGGCCUACCAAGGCGUCGACGGGUAGCCGGCCUGAGAGGGUGGACGGCCACAUUGGGACUGCGAUACGGCCCCGACUCCUACGGGAGGCAGCAGUGGGGAAGAUUGCACAAUGGGCGCAAGCCUGAUGCAGCGACGCCGCGUGGGGGAUGACGGCCUUCGGGUUGUACACUCCUUUCGUUAGGGACGAAGCCGCACUUUUUUUGGGUGCGGUGACGGUACCUUUGUUAAGAAGCACCGGCUAACUACGUG